UGUGGUGUGGCUCAAUGGUAGAGCAUUCACCUAGCACAUGCAAGGCACUGGGUUUGAGCCUCAGCACCACAU
RNAcentral lists this transfer RNA (72 nucleotides) under Marmota monax (woodchuck). It matches the Rfam family "tRNA". Rfam says of the family: Transfer RNA (tRNA) molecules are approximately 80 nucleotides in length. Their secondary structure includes four short double-helical elements and three loops (D, anti-codon, and T loops). The record is from Rfam by way of RNAcentral. Lineage: Eukaryota; Metazoa; Chordata; Mammalia; Rodentia; Sciuridae.